RNAcentral lists this long non-coding RNA (286 nucleotides) under Elaeis guineensis (African oil palm). RNAcentral describes it as "long non-coding RNA (EGUI_LNC051558)". Lineage: Eukaryota; Viridiplantae; Streptophyta; Magnoliopsida; Arecales; Arecaceae. The record is from RNAcentral.
UGACUAUGCAUAAGAAAUUACUAAUGAAUUUGAUCCUAUAAUUUUUGAUUCAUACGGAUAGUUUAUAAAACUAUUAUAUGAAUAAAUAUUAUAGCACCUUAAUUAAAUUGAUCGAUAUACUGAUAACUAAGGGAUCUGAAAAAGUUUAGAGAUAUAUACCUAGAGAACCUAGAGAAAUAUUUACAUACCUUUGGAAGGUAUGUCGAAAUUGCUCAAAAUGGAUCUUAUAAUUUUUUCUUUUUCAUUAGACUCUAGUGCAUAUUACACACUUUAAUAUAAGGUCUAA